GGUUUGCUCUGCCAGAUAAACCUGCCGCUAAUAGCAAUCGAGCAGAUAAGACUCUCCUUUCAUCGGGACGGUGGUAAGCGUAGUAACUAUUAGCCUGGCAUAACGCGGACCUGUAAUACGAAUUUACAUCGCUGUUUAAGUAAUGCCGGGAUCACUAUAUAUGGUGCCCGGGUUUAGCUAGGGUAAGGUACACGCUUGACAACAAAAAGCGAUUUGCCUGAGAGAUGUGCGCAACCGCUGUAACUGAUGGGUCGGUCCAGCUCCUCCGGGAGGCAGCCGUAGGCAUCAUCCCAAUGGCAGAAGCCUGGCGCAACAACUCGCGUAUAUGAGGUCUUCGUUCGUAAAUCGUCUAGGGAAAAGCACGAGCUAAGUAUCUGUGGCGUCUUGGCGGUACUAAUACAGAGACCC
RNAcentral lists this ribosomal RNA (408 nucleotides) under uncultured Borrelia sp. Its description in RNAcentral is "partial 16S ribosomal RNA". Lineage: Bacteria; Pseudomonadati; Spirochaetota; Spirochaetia; Spirochaetales; Borreliaceae. The record is from RNAcentral.